CCGCGCACUCUAAUAGAAAACAUGUAAUCGUAUUUAUUUUCCUUCCAUUCUGUCAGAGGCGCUGAUGUCGGCAUUGUGAUUGGUGGAACAUGAGUUUUGACAAAUCCUGCGCUAUCUGUGAAUCUGUGUUUAGUGUUCGUGUUCGUUCGUUCGUUGUCGUUCAGUCAUUUUAUAUGGUCGGUUUAUGUGAUGUGUUUGUGUCACCAUAAAAAGCUGAUAUUCAGUCGUGUUUUUUGAUAUUUUGUAAUCGAGUACCUUUUUAAAGGUCUAAUGGCUCCCAUCAGGUGUUGUGUGCAGACGGAGGAAAAAUUCAACGAGUAAACAUAUUUAAUCCAAAUUAAAUACUCAUAUUUCUAUAUAAAAUGUCACAUUAUUGUAUAAAUAAAUAAUUAAGAAUCAAAA
Molecule: long non-coding RNA, 402 nt
Organism: Diabrotica virgifera virgifera (western corn rootworm)
Lineage: Eukaryota; Metazoa; Arthropoda; Insecta; Coleoptera; Chrysomelidae
Exons: 2
Source: RefSeq, a predicted model, not a curated record